AGUCUCUUAGGUUUAUCUUAUCUGGUUAAUGGGUUAUCCAGCUCCCUUGCUUCUCUCCUCUCCCACUUAUCUUUUGAACUUUUUUCAGCCAAAGAUUUUUACCCAAAAACGAGCCUGAAGAGGAAGGAAGACACCAGUCGCCUU
Tursiops truncatus (common bottlenose dolphin) is the source of this 144-nucleotide non-coding RNA. Lineage: Eukaryota; Metazoa; Chordata; Mammalia; Artiodactyla; Delphinidae. The record is from Rfam.